This 917-nucleotide long non-coding RNA is filed under the name Coffea arabica (coffee). Its description in RNAcentral is "long non-coding RNA (CARA_LNC001223)". Lineage: Eukaryota; Viridiplantae; Streptophyta; Magnoliopsida; Gentianales; Rubiaceae. The record is from RNAcentral.
UUUUUUUUUUUUUUUUCCUUUCUUGUUCAAAAACGGAAAAACCAGUAGCAGGGGAGAUAAUAAAGCAUGAAUCCAGUAGUAGGGGAGGAAAAAAAACAAGUAAUCUGACAAACCACCAUAUUCCAAACAAAAUUAACCCCAAAUUGCUAAGCCAGUCAUACACUCAUCAUAUCAUUUCCUAUGGCUAGCGCAGAUUCUAGAUGUUGUCUCCGAGUUGCAGCAGAAUGCCAUCAAGCGUCCAAGAAAAGAAACGUAAAUGCGGACAAAAUACGAGAGACAAGAGCAACAACUUGGAAGGAUAUCUCUACCAGUCGGUAAAAUUACGAUAAUAAUAAUUAUUAAUGUUUACUAAUUUGCAAUCCAGCAAAUGGAUAAUGAUUGAUAAAACGGCAGAGAAAAUGCGGCAAUUAAAGAAUCCAAUUCCGCAUUACCAAUCCAAUGGGUUCAAAGCGUCAACCACCCAGGUGAGGAAUGAGACGCCACACUACACUACAAUAGUUGAAGAUGAAGGCUGAUGAUGUCUGUCUCUGUCGGGCUUGAAUGGCGUGAAGAUGAAGGUGAAACUGAGGAAGUAGGAAGCUGAGGAGGAAAUCACAAUAAGUCGGAGGUGUGGAUGAAGGAAGGUGAGACAGUGAGUCAGGCGGUGGAGACGGAGGAAGGAAGGGGAGAGAUGAUGAGGAAGAGGCGGCGGAAGAGUAUAAUUAGGGUUUUUGCAAUUUCAAUUGUUAGAUAUAUCAUGUAUAUUGUUAUUAUGUUAUAUAAUAUAUAUUAUAUAUGUACUGUUAAAAACUAUUAUAUUAUAUAUAAAUAUUAUUAAAUCAAAUUUCCGAAUUCGAAUUCCUAUUUCGAAUUCUCCAAUUCGAAAUUAUCGGUUUCAAAAAUUAUAUUUCGAAUUCGACCUAAUUUCAACCAAUUCC